RNAcentral lists this long non-coding RNA (655 nucleotides) under Homo sapiens (human). RNAcentral's name for it is "HSALNT0248048". The record is from RNAcentral. Lineage: Eukaryota; Metazoa; Chordata; Mammalia; Primates; Hominidae.
UCUCGUGGACCCACUGGCCCUGCAGAAGUGGCCCACUUCCCCUGGUCAGAAGGUGACUGUCCCAGUAGUUUGAUGAUCAUGCAGAGGCCUCAGUUGAGGCAGAUUCUUUAUGAGACAUUCUUGCAUCCUCUCAGGAUAAGCCCCUACCUUCUCUCUUGACAACCAGACCAUUAACCAGGAUCAAAUUCCAGAAGACCAACUGGGCAUGUGAAGGCCUGUGAAGGAAAGAAAGGGAUAAAAUGCCAAAGAGGCCACAUAAUCCAACUAACACGAACCUUCAGGAUUUGGGAGAGCAUCAAUAGGACUUGCUGGUGAGAGUGUUUCCUCAAGGGGAGUGGAUCUUACAGAUCACCAUUGACCACGAAUAACUGAAAUCACGGAAAGUGAAACCACAGAUAAGAGAGGACUACUGUUUCUGAAAUGUUGAAAGAAAAAUACCACAAACCUUGAAUUCUGUAUCCAGCAAAGUUAUCCUCCUAUACUGAAGUACAAAGACUAUCAGAUGACAACAACAACAACAACAGAAAUCUAGAGGGAAUUUGUUGCCAGUAGAUCUUCUGUGAUUAAAAUGUUAAAGAAGUUUCUUAGAAAGAAAUAAAAUAAUAUAGGGCAGAAACUCAAAUCUAUAUAAAAAUGAAAGAGCAUCAGAGAAUCA